AAUGCAGUCGGGCAGAGAAACAAUUGAUGUCCAGAGGAGACCCUUGUUACCGGCCUUCGAGGAUAGGUCAAUGCCUCCUUCUACUACAUUCCCUGGAAAAAUGGAGCGAAACAAUGCAUUCUGGACUCCACCUCGGGGCGGCCAUGUGGUCGGCCAGCUGCUGCAGAGGCUGUCCCCAGGGAAGGGACCUCCAGUCCCUCCAGGCCCGGGCGAUAGUUCCUGGCAUCCAGGUCCUCCAGGGGCCAACCACAGAAACCAGGGACCCACUUGGCAUAUCAACAGGAAGCCUUGUUAUCGCCAUGCUUGUGGGCAUGCGCCCGUAUGCACACCCACAGCCCCCCAAACAGAACAAAAGCAAAACCAAAAGGUGAUGAAAGAAGCAAUGAGAAAAGGUUGGGGAGGGGGGGCAAAGAAAGGGACAAACAAAUGUGUUUGCGGGCCAUAUCAAGCCCGUGAGUUCCCAAUUCCCAAAGCUCUUCCCCAUUUUAGAGACGAGUACGCUGAGAGGCAACAGCGUGCCCAAAGUCACCAGGAGUUAGUGCGUGGUCCAGGAUGAAGUUUCUGGUUUUCUGGCCCAGAGUCUCCCCUCUGUUUUGUCCUUGAGGCCGAGGGUCUGCAGGCUCCAGGGGCAGGACCUCUCAGGAGAGGAACAAGGGCCACCUGCCUCCCCGGCAACCCCCACCCCCACCUUUUCCCAGGAACCCUUUGUGACAGGGGGUGCCCAGUACUCGCGCAUCAGGUAGCUGAUGCUGUCACCCCAGGAGGGGGCCAGAGAUGAGGGACUGGGGCUAUCACGUGAAUACGGGGAUCCGGGUAGACAGAGGCUUCUCUGAAAUUGAACGUUCAUGGGGAAGGAGGACCGAGGUCAGCUUUGGAGCUAUAGACCAAUCUGGGUUGGAAUGCGAGCUCUUUUCCUUCUAAGGCAGAAGCUGAAAUAGAAAAAAAAAAAAAAUUAAGGCAAACACGACAUUGCCGCUCUAAGUGGAGAAGCCGUCUUGCUGGUCAUGAACUGAAGUCACUGGUGAGAAUAAUCACAACCCAAAGCCAAUGGGGUGUUAAAUCCUGGCUGGGAAGGACCUGGGCACAGAGGCGGCUCUCUCCUUGUGCGAGAAGAAAAAGCAUCAGGGAAGCAUUCGGACCAAUGCCAAAUCAAGACUCGCUCCCUGGUAGGACCAGGAGGGCAUAAGGGGUUAACUUGGGAGUCAUUUCCAUCCUCCGUGAUUCAUUUAAUGCCUCGAGUAAUUCAGAAAGUGAUGCUGGGGGGUCCCCACCCCAUCUCCGUGAGGCUCACACACCAGGACAGGGCGCCUGGGUGAUCCUGUCGGUCCCUCCUGCUGAGGCUGUCAGGAAUCUAGAAGGGCCGGCAGGGCUGGGACAUCGCAGCCGAAUGGGAAGGAAGACAAAGAGAGACCGAGCAUGAGCAGGGGAGGAGCAGAGAGAGACGAAGACACAGAAUCGGAAGC
Felis catus (domestic cat) is the source of this 1463-nucleotide long non-coding RNA. RefSeq lists it as uncharacterized. The transcript is spliced from 4 exons. The record is from RefSeq and is a predicted model, not a curated record. NCBI's taxonomy places the organism in Eukaryota, Metazoa, Chordata, Mammalia, Carnivora, Felidae.